AACCCGCACCAACCGAAACAAAAAAAACAAAUUGGGUCGGACUUACUUGGUUUAGCGGUUCUGCGGGUCCAAAAUGCGGUUUCGACUGGGCUCAAAUGGGCGGGUCCGGUUCAAGAAAUUGGAACCGCGGGUAACCGUACCCGCCCGGCUCUAAAAAGCCAGAUGAUGUAUAUUACUGGUAGCAAGACCCAUUUGUUCUAUUCUUUCUCUCUCCUCAUGUUCCUUCCUUUCGAGAAUGUUGUUUCACCCCCAACCUAAAAAUAAAAGUUUGAUUUUACGCCGCCGUAAGUUACAACCAACAACCGCCGUCUCAUUUCCGCCUGGUUCAUGGUUUUCAUCCUACGACUAUUCUCCAUUUUUCUACUGUUGUGGUGUUUGAUAAAAAUACUGAAAGAUUUGAAGCUACCUCCAUGUUAGAUACUCAGAUUUCUUAACUAAUUCAGUUAUUUCCCUUUUCAGAUGCAUUUUAAAGGGCUAACCGAUCUUAUACCGCCAUUGUGGUUGAAAUUAUUGAACACUAGUGAAUGUAAUCAAGUAUCUUUACUAAGUAUGUUUAAAAGGUUUUCUUUGUGAGUCUAAUAAUUCUUCUUCUCUCCUGCACUAAGACCAACUAAGCAUUUAUAUAACUGAAGCAUAACUUUAUUUACUUGCAACUGAAUUAAUGUUAUUACAGUAUGUGAUUGAUUAUUUAGAAUUGUAUAUUUGCAUCUUUUAAGUUAUUUGUCCUUUCCAAAUGCUCCAACAAACAUCGUAAUAACGUUAUAUUCAAUGAUGGUGUUGUAGACAUAGAGGAAGUUGUUCACAAUGUAAAAAUGUGCUCAUGGCGGUGGUUAGCCAUAGCUAACAAACAAAAGGUAUCUUGUAACUAUUAUGAAUGGUGCCAUAGUCCAUUAGAAUAUAUGUAGGGAUAGGAAGUUAGAAAUCUGUAUUUUGUUUGGGUAGAUGAAUUAUAUUAUAAAAAAAAAAGUUAUUUGUACUUUAAUUGGUUUGAUCUGUUUGAGAUAAGGUCUGAUCAAUGAUGAUGUUUAGCAUGUAAAUCUAAGCUGUCUAAGUAGUUAAGGACUUUUAUUUUAUUCUUUGUAUCUAGAUAAUUGUUGAAUAGGAUCUUCUUAAUUCAAAUGUGAUCCAAAAACCAUGAGAGUGACGCAUCUGUGAGUUUAUAUACUCUUGACAUUUCUUGACAUUCACUUGCUAUAAGACUCUCUAUUUGUGAGAUGAAAGCAUUUCAUACAUCAUUUUGUUUGUAUUGACUGGUGUAGUUUAUCAAAUGUAUUAUGUUGUGGGUAGAUGAAUUAUAUUAUAUCAUGGCAGUCUUGUAUUUAUAAGUUAAACAAAGCAUAGUUUUGUGAAGCUUCACAAGAAAUUUUUCAGCCAUGUCUGGAACAUCUAAUUUCUGAUUUUGACUUAAAGUUGUGUAAACAAGUAUUAUUUCUAAAUUUGGUGCAAGUACUGAUUCUAAAUUUCAAAUAAUACAAUUUUUCUUCUCACUUUUUCAUUGUUCUAGUCUAGAUUUAUCUGCAUUUAUCUAGGUUUAUAAUGGUAUUAGGAUAAUGUAUUUUAACAAUCAAAUAUCUUAUUUAUUAGCUUUAAUAUUAUGCAUGUACAUUUCAACUUACUAUAUUGUUCUUGAUGAUAAUUCAAAUGUGCAUGCUUUAAUUGAUGACUUUUAUAAUUCCAUCUAUUUUCAUUCUGUCAAAUUAUGGAUCCUAAUUUAUUUUAACAUGAACAAAGUAACUUAUAUUAUAUACUCACAUAAUGUAAACAUGUUUUAUUUUUUCUAUCAGCUAAGACAGUGCGAGAGCUUGGAAAUCCAAACUUAGUCAAGUUGUUGUGUUAGCACAUCCAUCCUCUAGACGACAUCGACAGUAUGAACUAUCUACAGGUUAAUUAUUUGUUUUCCUUUCAGGUGUUAAUACUCAUUCAAAGGUCAUAAAACAAUUUGAACAAGUCUUGGCUGCUAUUGCUCUACUUAGUGAAGAAACACAACAUGAAUUGGCUUCCUUAACAUAUGUAUAUGUUGCAGUAACUAGUAUAGCAAUUUGAUCGAGUCAGCAACUAUUGUUUUUAAUUUUGGAUCAUGUUUGAAGAAACACAAAACAUGAAUUGUGGAUAGUACCCUACUAAUUGAAGCAUUACUAUUAAUUAUAUCCAAUUGUGUUUUUGUUAA
Vicia villosa (hairy vetch) is the source of this 2167-nucleotide long non-coding RNA. RefSeq lists it as uncharacterized. NCBI's taxonomy places the organism in Eukaryota, Viridiplantae, Streptophyta, Magnoliopsida, Fabales, Fabaceae. The record is from RefSeq and is a predicted model, not a curated record. The transcript has 3 exons.